GUUGCUCUGGGUCAUGGGCCCCGCAUUUCCCGCGUGCGGUGAUCUAACCCGGUUCAGCCCGCGGUGCAGGA
This 71-nucleotide transfer RNA is filed under the name Asanoa siamensis. RNAcentral describes it as "tRNA-Gly". Lineage: Bacteria; Bacillati; Actinomycetota; Actinomycetes; Micromonosporales; Micromonosporaceae. The record is from RNAcentral.